Molecule: ribosomal RNA, 408 nt
Filed under: uncultured bacterium
Lineage: Bacteria
Description: partial 16S ribosomal RNA
Rfam family: Bacterial small subunit ribosomal RNA
Source: RNAcentral
AGUGAACGCUGGCGGCGUGCCUAAUACAUGCAAGUCGAACGGAGUGGCGCACGGGUGAGUAAUAUAUAGCUAAUCUGCCCCUUGCUGGAGGACAACAGUUAGAAAUGACUGCUAAUACCCCAUAGAGAGGGAUGAGACUAUAUCGUAUCAGCUAGUCGGUGGGGUAACGGCCAACCGAGGGUAUGACGCGUAACUGGUCUGAGAGGAUGAGCAGUCACAUUGGAACUGAGGCACGGUCCGAACUCCUACGGGAAGCAGCGGUAGGGAAUAUUGCGCAAGGGGGGUAACCCUGACGCAGCAACGCCGCGUGGAGGAUGACACUUUUCGGAGCGUAAACGUCUUUUGUUAGGGAAGCGGUACCUAACGAAUAAGCACCGGCUAACUCCGUGCCAGCAGCCGCGGUAAUAC